Molecule: non-coding RNA, 104 nt
Organism: Capsicum annuum
Lineage: Eukaryota; Viridiplantae; Streptophyta; Magnoliopsida; Solanales; Solanaceae
Source: Rfam
AAUUCAUGAUUUGGACAGUUGGUUAUCUUUCCAUUAAAUCUCUCCCAAGCUUCAAGCAAUGGUUCUCCAUUAAUUUGCUAUAAGUUAACAAUCUCAUCCCAUUU